CUCCGCACGCACUCUGGCUGAAAUGGCCUGCUCUGCAGAGGUUCAUUUUUCCUCAUGCAGGAGUUUUUUUUGUUUUUGCAAGGGGUACUUUUAGAUUAGUACAGUUGCUGGAUAAAAGAAAUGAAGAAACAGAGUUCAGAGAUAGACACAAAGAAGCAGGUGAAGGAACGGUCCAAAAACGCAAAUCAAUCAAGAAUGUGCGCUCCGGAGUUGGGUUCGUUACUCUAUCACUAACAAUAAUCUAGCCAG
RNAcentral lists this long non-coding RNA (249 nucleotides) under Brachypodium distachyon (stiff brome). RNAcentral describes it as "long non-coding RNA (BDIS_LNC006009)". Lineage: Eukaryota; Viridiplantae; Streptophyta; Magnoliopsida; Poales; Poaceae. The record is from RNAcentral.